Molecule: ribosomal RNA, 253 nt
Filed under: uncultured bacterium
Lineage: Bacteria
Description: partial 16S ribosomal RNA
Rfam family: Bacterial small subunit ribosomal RNA
Source: RNAcentral
UACGUAGGGCGCAAGCGUUGUCCGGAAUCAUUGGGCGUAAAGAGCUCGUAGGCGGCCUGUUGCGUCCGCUGUGAAAUCCCGGGGGUUAACCCCGGGCGUGCAGUGGAUACGGGCUGGCUGGAGGCAGGCAGGGGAGAACGGAAUUCCCGGUGUAGCGGUGAAAUGCGCAGAUAUCGGGAGGAACACCGGUGGCGAAGGCGGCUCACUGGCUCAUUUCUGACGCUCAGGCGCGACAGCGUGGGGAUCAAACAGG